ACGAAAGAUUGACGAUUGGUAAGAAUCCACAACAAGUUGUUCUUCAUAGAUGUAUCUGAGGGUCUGUAGCUCAGUUGGUUAGAGCACACGCUUGAUAAGCGUGGGGUCACAAGUUCAAGUCUUGUCAGACCCACCAUGACUUUGACUGGUUGAAGUUAUAGAUAAAAGAUACAUGAUUGAUGAUGUAAGCUGGGGACUUAGCUUAGUUGGUAGAGCGCCUGCUUUGCACGCAGGAGGUCAGGAGUUCGACUCUCCUAGUCUCCACCAGAACUUAAGAUAAGUUCGGAUUACAGAAAUUAGUAAAUAAAGAUUGAGAUCUUGGUUUAUUAACUUCUGUGAUUUCAUUAUCACGGUAAUUAGUGUGAUCUGACGAAGACACAUUAACUCAUUAACAGAUUGGCAAAAUUGAGUCUGAAAUAAAUUGUUCACUCAAGAGUUUAGGUUAAGCAAUUAAUCUAGAUGAAUUGAGAACUAGCAAAUUAACUGAAUCAAGCGUUUUGGUAUGUGAAUUUAGAUUGAAGCUGUACGGUGCUUAAGUGCACAGUGCUCUAAACUGAAAUGUUGAAGUUACUAACUUGUAGGUAACAUCGACUGUUUGGGGUUGUAU
Molecule: transfer RNA, 607 nt
Filed under: Acinetobacter baumannii
Lineage: Bacteria; Pseudomonadati; Pseudomonadota; Gammaproteobacteria; Moraxellales; Moraxellaceae
Description: partial 16S-23S ribosomal RNA intergenic spacer
Rfam family: tRNA (bases 60-133)
Source: RNAcentral